AGGACGAACGCUUGCGACGUGCCUAAGAAAUGCAAGUCGAGCGGGGGAGCAAUCCCUAGCGGCGAACGGUCGCGUAACACGUAGGCAACCUGCCCGAAAGACCGGGACAACAGCGCGAAAGCGCUGCUAAUACCGGAUGUGGUCGCGGGAAGACAUCUUCUGGCGAGUAAAUCACUGGUUGGCUUUCGGAGGGGCCUGCGGCCUAUCAGCUAGAUGGCGGAGUAACGGCCCACCAUGGCGACGACGGGUAGCUGGUCUGAGAGGAUGGUCAGCCGGACUGGGACUGAGAUACGGCCCAGACUCCUACGGGGGCAGCAAUUAGGAAUCUUGCGCAAUGGGGGCAACCCUGACGCAGCGACGUCGCGUGGAGGAGGACGGCCUUCGGGUUGUAAACUCCGUUUUAACGAGGAAGAACAAAUGACGGUACUCGUUGAAUAAGCCCGGCUAACUCCGCGCCAGCAGCCGC
This 466-nucleotide ribosomal RNA is filed under the name uncultured bacterium. Its description in RNAcentral is "SSU rRNA". It matches the Rfam family "Bacterial small subunit ribosomal RNA", at positions 26 to 518 of the family's 1533-position model. The record is from RNAcentral.